GAUGAACGCUCGCGAUAGGCUUAACACAUGCAAGUCGAGGGGCAGCAUGGUCUUAGCUUGCUAAGACUGAUGGCGACCGGCGCACGGGUGCGUAACGCGUAUGCAACUUGCCUCACAGAGGGGGAUAACCCGUCGAAAGACGGACUAAUACCGCGUACACUUGGGAUAGGGCAUCCUGACCCAAGGAAAUGAAAUUCGCUGUGAGAUAGGCAUGCGUCCCAUUAGCUAGUUGGUGAGGUAACGGCUCACCAAGGCGACGAUGGGUAGGGGAACUGCGAGGUUGAACCCCCACACUGGUACUGAGACAAGGACCAGACUCCUACGGGAGGCAGCAGUGAGGAAUAUUGGUCAAUGGGCGAGAGCCUGAACCAGCCAAGUCGCGUGAAGGAUGACUGUCUUAUGGAUUGUAAACUUCUUUUAUACGGGAAUAACAAGAGUCACGUGUGGCUCCCUGCAUGUACCGUAUGAAUAAGCAUCGGCUAACUCCGUG
RNAcentral lists this ribosomal RNA (490 nucleotides) under uncultured bacterium. Its description in RNAcentral is "partial 16S ribosomal RNA". It matches the Rfam family "Bacterial small subunit ribosomal RNA", at positions 28 to 507 of the family's 1533-position model. The record is from RNAcentral.